Molecule: long non-coding RNA, 321 nt
Filed under: Physcomitrium patens
Lineage: Eukaryota; Viridiplantae; Streptophyta; Bryopsida; Funariales; Funariaceae
Description: long non-coding RNA (PPAT_LNC002448)
Source: RNAcentral
ACAAAAGAAUCCCUUGUCACUAAUGCUCAAUAUGGUGGGGGAGGGCAUGGCUUCUUCUUGUCACCGUGAUGUUUGGGAGGAUAGUUGUGAUGAUCAUCGUGUUUCGGAGGCUUGUUGUGGUGGUCGUCGUCAUGUUUCGGAGGCUUGUUGUAGUGGUCGUCGUCGUGCUUCGGGGGAUUUUUGUGGUGGUCGUCGUCGUGUUUUGGUGGAGGGCACGGCUUCUUCUUGUGAUGAUCGUCAUCGUGGUGUUUGGGAGGAUGCUUGUAAUCGUGAUCAUCAUGGCCGGGAGGAUUCUUCUUGUGAUGGGGAGGAGGAGAGUAU